Molecule: transfer RNA, 72 nt
Filed under: bacterium TMED250
Lineage: Bacteria
Also listed under: 1 other name
Description: tRNA-Thr
Rfam family: tRNA
About the family: Transfer RNA (tRNA) molecules are approximately 80 nucleotides in length.
Source: RNAcentral
GCCUACGUAGCUCAGUGGUAGAGCACUUCCUUGGUAAGGAAGAGGUCGCCAGUUCAAUUCUGGCCGUAGGCU